This 410-nucleotide ribosomal RNA is filed under the name Rahnella sp. DGGE band 23. RNAcentral describes it as "bacterial SSU rRNA". It matches the Rfam family "Bacterial small subunit ribosomal RNA", at positions 957 to 1363 of the family's 1533-position model. The record is from RNAcentral. Lineage: Bacteria; Pseudomonadati; Pseudomonadota; Gammaproteobacteria; Enterobacterales; Yersiniaceae.
GAACGCGAAGAACCUUACCUACUCUUGACAUCCAGAGAAUUUGCUAGAGAUAGCUUAGUGCCUUCGGGAACUCUGAGACAGGUGCUGCAUGGCUGUCGUCAGCUCGUGUUGUGAAAUGUUGGGUUAAGUCCCGCAACGAGCGCAACCCUUAUCCUUUGUUGCCAGCACGUAAUGGUGGGAACUCAAAGGAGACUGCCGGUGAUAAACCGGAGGAAGGUGGGGAUGACGUCAAGUCAUCAUGGCCCUUACGAGUAGGGCUACACACGUGCUACAAUGGCAUAUACAAAGAGAAGCGAACUCGCGAGAGCAAGCGGACCUCAUAAAGUAUGUCGUAGUCCGGAUUGGAGUCUGCAACUCGACUCCAUGAAGUCGGAAUCGCUAGUAAUCGUAGAUCAGAAUGCUAUCGGUCC